Molecule: ribosomal RNA, 495 nt
Filed under: uncultured bacterium
Lineage: Bacteria
Description: partial 16S ribosomal RNA
Rfam family: Bacterial small subunit ribosomal RNA
Source: RNAcentral
GAUGAACGCUGGCGGCGUGCCUAAUACAUGCAAGUCGAGCGAACAGACGAGGAGCUUGCUCCUCUGACGUUAGCGGCGGACGGGUGAGUAACACGUGGAUAACCUACCUAUAAGACUGGGAUAACUUCGGGAAACCGGAGCUAAUACCGGAUAAUAUAUUGAACCGCAUGGUUCAAUAGUGAAAGACGGUUUUGCUGUCACUUAUAGAUGGAUCCGCGCCGCAUUAGCUAGUUGGUAAGGUAACGGCUUACCAAGGCAACGAUGCGUAGCCGACCUGAGAGGUGGGCGGCCCAAACUGAAAGACGACCGCGGCCCAGCCUCCAGGGGGAGGAAGCAGGAGGGAAUUGUCGGUAAGGGCCAAAGGCCUGAAGGACCAACGCGGGGGGGGAGAAGAAGUUUUUCGGAUAUUAAACCUCUGUUAUAAGAAAAAAAAAAAUGUGUAAGAACCUACGCCCGUCUGGACGGUCCCUAACCAGAAACACCCGACUAACUACU